UUACGGUCAAAUCACGCUGAAAACACCGGUUCUCGUUCGAUCACCGAAGUUAAGCACCGUAGAGCCAGGUCAGUACUUAGAUGGGGGACCGCUUGGGAACACCUGGUACUGUAAG
This 115-nucleotide ribosomal RNA is filed under the name Acanthosepion pharaonis. The record is from RNAcentral. Lineage: Eukaryota; Metazoa; Mollusca; Cephalopoda; Sepiida; Sepiidae.